AAGUCGUAACAAGGUUUCCGUAGGUGAACCUGCGGAAGGAUCAUUAAUGCUAAACCGUAUGUGAGCACGCUGGCAACAGUGGCUUACAAAACGGAUCCAACAAAGCUAAACGCUCGAAUUUUGGUUCUACUCAGAACAAACUUUCGACGUCACAAGUAACCUGAGGACUGUUCUUUUCUUCUGCGCGAUUGUGUGGAGAAGAGAGGAAUUGUUCCUCUACCCUUAUUUUAUACCAUAAUUACCCUGAUUAUAAACUACUUAGACUGAUAUAAAAUUCUACACAUUUAUUUUAUAAAUGUAAAAAACAACUCUUAGCAAUGGAUAUCUAGGCUCUC
This 335-nucleotide unclassified non-coding RNA is filed under the name fungal sp. RNAcentral's name for it is "partial internal transcribed spacer region". The stretch from base 1 to 46 matches the Rfam family "Eukaryotic small subunit ribosomal RNA", at positions 1786 to 1831 of the family's 1831-position model. Lineage: Eukaryota; Fungi. The record is from RNAcentral.